Molecule: non-coding RNA, 228 nt
Filed under: Fragilariopsis kerguelensis
Lineage: Eukaryota; Bacillariophyta; Bacillariophyceae; Bacillariales; Bacillariaceae
Source: RNAcentral
CGAUAUGCAGGAUAUUGAAACAACAGGAAAGAGAGAGGAACACAAUAGGAAAACACGAACACGAACACACGUGUACUGUAUCGAUGCAUUUCAUGUUCUCUUUUUUUCUUCUUGCUCUUCUGUCUGUCUCCGACACGAAAAAGAAAAAAUGAAAGUUAGAGAUCAGGUUGAUGUGAUGAUGUGGAAAGAAAGACAAUGCUGUCUCUCUCUCUUUCUCUGUCUCUCUUU